Long non-coding RNA from Ipomoea nil (Japanese morning glory), 354 nucleotides. RefSeq lists it as uncharacterized. The record is from RefSeq and is a predicted model, not a curated record. The transcript is spliced from 3 exons. NCBI's taxonomy places the organism in Eukaryota, Viridiplantae, Streptophyta, Magnoliopsida, Solanales, Convolvulaceae.
AUAGAAUUAAACCCAUCACCAUAAGCAGAUUCGGUGGGGAAACCACCCAGGGUCGUUGGCUUGGCUGUACGAAAGAGAAGCCAGAAAUGGUUUAGGCCUGCUCAAGGUAAUUUUUCUGGGGUUUUUAACAAUAUUACAGCUGCUCAAGGUAAUUUUCCACCAUUUUGCUCUGCUGUUGUGAAUAUCCAUUUCCCUUUGGACUCGAAUCAUUUUGCUCUGCUGUUAUAUAUUAUUGUUUAAUUUGUGGUAAAAAGAAAUUUCGAGGAUUUUGGGAGUUUAAGAAUUACAACUGAUAUGAGAAAUGGAACCAAGAUGAAGAGAAGGGCGACAAAGGGCCAUGGUCUUCAUGUCCGC